UACGAAGGAGGCUAGCGUUGUUCGGAAUUACUGGGCGUAAAGCGCGCGCAGGCGGUCUUCCAAGUCAGUGGUGAAAGCCCGGAGCUCAACUCCGGAACUGCCAUUGAAACUGUUAGACUUGAGGAUGAGAGAGGUGAGUGGAAUUCCCAGUGUAGAGGUGAAAUUCGUAGAUAUUGGGAAGAACACCGGUGGCGAAGGCGGCUCACUGGUCAUUACUGUACG
This 222-nucleotide ribosomal RNA is filed under the name uncultured bacterium. RNAcentral describes it as "partial 16S ribosomal RNA". It matches the Rfam family "Bacterial small subunit ribosomal RNA", at positions 524 to 745 of the family's 1533-position model. The record is from RNAcentral.